Molecule: ribosomal RNA, 1473 nt
Filed under: Leuconostoc mesenteroides
Lineage: Bacteria; Bacillati; Bacillota; Bacilli; Lactobacillales; Lactobacillaceae
Description: bacterial SSU rRNA
Rfam family: Bacterial small subunit ribosomal RNA
Source: RNAcentral
GAUGAACGCUGGCGGCGUGCCUAAUACAUGCAAGUCGAACGCACAGCGAAAGGUGCUUGCACCUUUCAAGUGAGUGGCGAACGGGUGAGUAACACGUGGACAACCUGCCUCAAGGCUGGGGAUAACAUUUGGAAACAGAUGCUAAUACCGAAUAAAACUUAGUGUCGCAUGACACAAAGUUAAAAGGCGCUUCGGCGUCACCUAGAGAUGGAUCCGCGGUGCAUUAGUUAGUUGGUGGGGUAAAGGCCUACCAAGACAAUGAUGCAUAGCCGAGUUGAGAGACUGAUCGGCCACAUUGGGACUGAGACACGGCCCAAACUCCUACGGGAGGCUGCAGUAGGGAAUCUUCCACAAUGGGCGAAAGCCUGAUGGAGCAACGCCGCGUGUGUGAUGAAGGCUUUCGGGUCGUAAAGCACUGUUGUAUGGGAAGAACAGCUAGAAUAGGAAAUGAUUUUAGUUUGACGGUACCAUACCAGAAAGGGACGGCUAAAUACGUGCCAGCAGCCGCGGUAAUACGUAUGUCCCGAGCGUUAUCCGGAUUUAUUGGGCGUAAAGCGAGCGCAGACGGUUUAUUAAGUCUGAUGUGAAAGCCCGGAGCUCAACUCCGGAAUGGCAUUGGAAACUGGUUAACUUGAGUGCAGUAGAGGUAAGUGGAACUCCAUGUGUAGCGGUGGAAUGCGUGGAUAUAUGGAAGAACACCAGUGGCGAAGGCGGCUUACUGGACUGCAACUGACGUUGAGGCUCGAAAGUGUGGGUAGCAAACAGGAUUAGAUACCCUGGUAGUCCACACCGUAAACGAUGAACACUAGGUGUUAGGAGGUUUCCGCCUCUUAGUGCCGAAGCUAACGCAUUAAGUGUUCCGCCUGGGGAGUACGACCGCAAGGUUGAAACUCAAAGGAAUUGACGGGGACCCGCACAAGCGGUGGAGCAUGUGGUUUAAUUCGAAGCAACGCGAAGAACCUUACCAGGUCUUGACAUCCUUUGAAGCUUUUAGAGAUAGAAGUGUUCUCUUCGGAGACAAAGUGACAGGUGGUGCAUGGUCGUCGUCAGCUCGUGUCGUGAGAUGUUGGGUUAAGUCCCGCAACGAGCGCAACCCUUAUUGUUAGUUGCCAGCAUUCAGAUGGGCACUCUAGCGAGACUGCCGGUGACAAACCGGAGGAAGGCGGGGACGACGUCAGAUCAUCAUGCCCCUUAUGACCUGGGCUACACACGUGCUACAAUGGCGUAUACAACGAGUUGCCAACCCGCGAGGGUGAGCUAAUCUCUUAAAGUACGUCUCAGUUCGGAUUGUAGUCUGCAACUCGACUACAUGAAGUCGGAAUCGCUAGUAAUCGCGGAUCAGCACGCCGCGGUGAAUACGUUCCCGGGUCUUGUACACACCGCCCGUCACACCAUGGGAGUUUGUAAUGCCCAAAGCCGGUGGCCUAACCUUUUAGGAAGGAGCCGUCUAAGGCAGGACAGAUGACUGGGGUG